This 255-nucleotide ribosomal RNA is filed under the name uncultured bacterium. RNAcentral describes it as "partial 16S ribosomal RNA". It matches the Rfam family "Bacterial small subunit ribosomal RNA", at positions 524 to 776 of the family's 1533-position model. The record is from RNAcentral.
UACGUAGGGUGCAAGCGUUGUCCGGAAUUAUUGGGCGUAAAGAGCUCGUAGGUGGCCUGUCGCGUCGGCUGUGAAAAACUCGGGGGCUCAACUCCGAGCUUGCAGUCGAUACGGGCAGGCUAGAGUUCGGCAGGGGAGACUGGAAUUCCUGGUGUAGCGGUGAAAUGCGCAGAUAUCAGGAGGAACACCGGUGGCGAAGGCGGGUCUCUGGGCCGAUACUGACACUGAGGAGCGAAAGCGUGGGGAGCGAACAGG